GGCUACCUAGCGCAAUGGUAGCGCGUUUGGCUUCGAUUGCUCAACGGUUACCAAAAGGUUGCAGGUUCGAGUCCUGCGGUGGUCA
This is a non-coding RNA of Pholiota molesta, 85 nucleotides long. NCBI's taxonomy places the organism in Eukaryota, Fungi, Basidiomycota, Agaricomycetes, Agaricales, Strophariaceae. The record is from the annotation of a GenBank genome assembly.